UAUGGCAAAUGUUUACAAUUAUUUCUGUUUGGCAUUCGCACGCUCCCGCGAACGUGUUUUGGCACUCUCUCUCUCUCUUGUUCUGUUUGUGCUCUGUUAUCGGUCAGCUCUUUUUGCAACAAAGCUCUCGCAGGCCUUUCAAAUAGCUAGCUAAUGGAAUGAUUUAGCAGUAUAGCUCUGGCAGUGAAUGAAUUAAGUUCCUAACAAGCUAAAUGUUGAAAGUGCGCAGCGGUCUAUCUAUAAUUCAGGCGCAAAAAGCAGCCCUCUCUGUCAGCAGUCCCGUUGGCAGACCACAGCAGCUGUAGCAGAGCCCAGAAAUGAUGCAGAGUGGCUACAAGCUCGUCCCUUUGAUCAGAUUCCUAGUACAACUUUUCUGUCUACUGUUCGGAAUUUUAUGCCUGGAGGAAAAUAUAGCAAACUGGACAUUGUGAAAUUGUUCAAAGCUUUGCAAGACGACUAUGGAAACAUAUUAUAUUUACCAGGUAUGAUGGGAGGUACGUCAUACCUGAUGACUCACAAUCCCAAGGACUUCGAGGUCGUGUUCCGGAACGAAGGAGUGUGGCCGCAUCGGCCUGGCAGCGAUACUCUUCGCUAUCAUCGGAAGACUCAUAGAAAGGAUUUCUUCCAGGGAGUGGAGGGAGCUUUA
Drosophila miranda is the source of this 646-nucleotide long non-coding RNA. RefSeq lists it as uncharacterized. The transcript is spliced from 2 exons. NCBI's taxonomy places the organism in Eukaryota, Metazoa, Arthropoda, Insecta, Diptera, Drosophilidae. The record is from RefSeq and is a predicted model, not a curated record.